AACGAACGCUGGCGGCAGGCCUAACACAUGCAAGUCGAGCGCGCCCUUCGGGGUGAGCGGCGGUCGGGUGAGUAACGCGUGGGAACGUGCCCUUUUCUACGGAAUAGCCUCGGGAAACUGAGAGUAAUACCGUAUACGCCCUUUGGGGGUAAGAUUUAUCGGAAAAGGAUCGGCCCGCGUUGGAUUCGGUAGUUGGUGGGGUAAUGGCCUACCAAGCCGACGAUCCAUAGCUGGUUUGAGAGGAUGAUCAGCCACACUGGGACUGAGACACGGCCCAGACUCCUACGGGAGGCAGCAGUGGGGAAUCUUAGACAAUGGGGGCAACCCUGAUCUAGCCAUGCCGCGUGAGUGAUGAAGGCCUUAGGGUUGUAAAGCUCUUUCAGCUGGGAAGAUAAUGACGGUACCAGCAGAAGAAGCCCCGGCUAACUCCGUG
Molecule: ribosomal RNA, 433 nt
Filed under: uncultured bacterium
Lineage: Bacteria
Description: partial 16S ribosomal RNA
Rfam family: Bacterial small subunit ribosomal RNA
Source: RNAcentral